RNAcentral lists this ribosomal RNA (465 nucleotides) under uncultured bacterium. Its description in RNAcentral is "partial 16S ribosomal RNA". It matches the Rfam family "Bacterial small subunit ribosomal RNA", at positions 28 to 507 of the family's 1533-position model. The record is from RNAcentral.
GACGAACGCUGGCGGCGUGCUUAACACAUGCAAGUCGUACGGGAAGGCCCUUUCGGGGGUCCACGAGUGGCGAACGGGUGAGUAACACGUGCGUAACCUGCCCACAACUUUGGGAUAACGCUACGAAACUGGGGCUAAUACUUGAUAUGUACUCCUGCUGCAUGGUGGGUGUUGGAAAGCUCCGUCGGUUGGGUAUGGACGUGGGGCCCAUCAGCUUGGUGGUGGGGUAGUGGCCUACCAAGGCGGAGACGGGUAGCCGGCCCGGGAGGGUGACCGGCCACAGUGGGACUGGGACACGGACCCGACUCCGACGGGAGGGAGAAGUGGGGAAUAUUGAACAAGGGGAGCAAGCCUGAUGCAGAACCGCCGCGUCCGGGAUGACGGCCUACGGGUUGGAAACCGCUUUCAGCAGGGCCGAAGAUUUUUGUGACGGUACCUGCAGAAGAAGCACCGGCUAACUCCGUG